This 479-nucleotide ribosomal RNA is filed under the name uncultured bacterium. Its description in RNAcentral is "bacterial SSU rRNA". It matches the Rfam family "Bacterial small subunit ribosomal RNA", at positions 338 to 819 of the family's 1533-position model. The record is from RNAcentral.
CCUACGGGAGGCAGCAGUAAGGAAUAUUGGACAAUGGGCGAGAGCCUGAUCCAGCCAUGCCGCGUGCAGGAAGAAGGACCUAUGGUUUGUAAACUGCUUUUGAAUGGGAGAAAACCUGGGUACGUGUACCCAGCUGAUAGUACCAUUAGAAUAAGCAUCGGCUAACUUCGUGCCAGCAGCCGCGGUAAGACGAAGGAUGCAAGCGUUAUCCGGAUUCAUUGGGUUUAAAGGGAGCGUAGGCGGAUAGAUAAGUCAGUGGUGAAAUCUCUGGGCUUAACCCAGAAACUGCCAUUGAUACUGUUUAUCUAGAGUACAUUUGCUGUGGGCGGAAUAUGACAUGUAGUGGUGAAAUACUUAGAUAUGUCAUAGAACACCGAUUGCGAAGGCAGCUCACAAAAUGUAACUGACGCUGAGCUCGAAGUAGNGGGAGUACAACAGAUAGAUACCUACGUAGUCGCACUAGUAACGAUAGAUACUCG